CGGGACUGAAUAGGGGUUAAUCAGAGGAUGCGAUUGCUGACCAUUUGCACUUUGGCAUGGCCCAUCCCCUAAUUUCUGACCAGAAGCCCUCCCUCUACCUUAAGGUCGCUGACGCGAAAGGCUGAGCCACGCCCUUCCAUCUAUUGGCCGGCUCCGGAGUUGGUGGGCAUGGCUUGGUGCAAUGCCGCUUGGCAAAGGGGUAGCCUCCUUGCCAAUCAGAGCCAGGGCGCCCGGAGAGGCGGGAUCAGGGCGAGGCCCCGGCGCCCUCGGAUGGGCGUGGCCACGUUGCCCAGCAGUGGGCGGUGAUUGGCCCCGGACUGCGAUUCGCAGCUCGUGCGUCACGACGCCGCCAGCUGAUCGGAGCCUGGAGCCGGUGUGUGCUGGGCGCCGAGAAGAGACAGCGCCGCCGGCCGUGGGGAGCGGACGCAGUGAUUUGCUCCCCUCCGCGCAGCAGCCCCCACACCCAGCACCAGGAGCCCUCGCCUCUCAUCCGCUCACCUGGCUGAGCCGCAGUAGUUCUUCAGUGGCAAGCUUUAUGUCCUGACCCCGCUAAAGCUGCCAGUUGAAGAACUGUUGCCCUCUGCCCCUGGCUUCGAGGAAGACAAGGAGGAGCUGCUUUCCCCAGCAUCUGGAAGGUGACAGAACCGGGGCUGGGAAGGUCCGCACGGCAGGGUUGGUGAUACGUUUUGGGAAAGCUGGAGAGCCUUUGCCCAGUUGGGCCCUGCAAGGAGCAGUUUUAGAUUAGCGACACUGGCUGAAUUGAGGAGGAGAAGGCUCAAACAACCCAAGUGUCUCCCUCCAGCCCUCGGCAUGUUCUUCUACCAUCUUCACCCGUCAUGGAGCAGAGGUGAGGAAAGGCAGCUUGGGAACACAGAGACCAGUGAAGGACCAGGCCUGGACAGCACAGGGUCCUCCCUGGGCCUCCAACAGAGGCCAUAAAGGCCGGAGCACCCCAAGAGGAGGGAGCACAGCCAGCCUCCAUCGAUGGCAAGUCUCCAGCCUCCUGCUUUGGUCACCAUUUCUCUCCAGUCUUUCUGCCUCUGAGAUGGGGCACUGUCAUGCAGUGCCCUGCGGCUUCAGCGCCCUACUUCCUCCUCCCAGCCUGUAAUGUUUAUAUAAGCAGACUCAAGGACCAAGAGCCAGCUGUGGAAGGACACACACAGGAAAUUCAUAAAGGAAAUUCUAAUGGCUAAAACCCCGAACAAAAUGUAUGCUUCAUUAGUAAUUAAAGAAAGGCAAAUAGAGCUGAAAGCAUUUUUCCCUUAGCAAACCAUCACAGAAAAAAAUAAGACCCAGUAUUGGCAAAGAGACUGCUAAAAUAACAUGCCCAUACAUUGUGUGUGGGAGGAUAGACUGGUGCCGGCUUCCUGGAUGGCAGUUUGGUGAUAUGUGCCAUGUAGCCUAAAAGCGUCCAUGUCCUUUGACCUGCUAAUUCUAUCUUUGGGAAUUUAUCCUAAGAAAAUAAAUAAGGAUUUAGUUAGUUAUAAGAUGUUCAUCCCCGCGCUGCAAUGGAGAAAAAUGGGAAGCAAUGGCGUGGUUGGGAAUUCAUUCCUUUUCUGCUGUAAUGAAAGUUUGCAAUAGGGGAUUGCUUAAGUAUAUUAUUGUAUAUCCAUCCAGAUGGUGGAGUACUGCACAGACAUUAAAAGUAAUGUAAAAGAACAUCUGACAGAAAAAUGCUCCUUGAAUAUUAAGAGGUUGUAAAAAUAGUGAAUGUUAUGUGAUCUCAAUUUUGUUUUUUAAAAUCUGGGUUUAUACUCACUGUUUACAUAGAACAGAUAAAGACUGAAGGCCUACUAAAAAAUGUUUAGUGGUUAUCUUUGGAUAGUGGAAUAAAAUUGUGAUUUUCAUCUUUGGUUUUUCUGUAAUUUCCAAAUUUUCUACAUGAAUGGUGUAUGACUUUCAUAUAAUAUAAUUUAAGA
Molecule: long non-coding RNA, 1919 nt
Organism: Saimiri boliviensis boliviensis (Bolivian squirrel monkey)
Lineage: Eukaryota; Metazoa; Chordata; Mammalia; Primates; Cebidae
Source: RefSeq, a predicted model, not a curated record